AUUGAACGCUGGCGGCAUGCCUUACACAUGCAAGUCGAACGGUAGAAGGAGCAAUCCUUCGAGAGUGGCGAACGGGUGAGUAAUACAUCGGAACGUACCUGGUAGUGGGGGAUAGCCCGGCGAAAGCCGGAUUAAUACCGCAUAAGACCUGAGGGUGAAAGCGGGGGACCGUAAGGCCUCGCGCUACCGGAGCGGCCGAUGUCAGAUUAGCUAGUUGGUGGGGUAAAAGCCUACCAAGGCGACGAUCUGUAGCUGGUCUGAGAGGACGACCAGCCACACUGGGACUGAGACACGGCCCAGACUCCUACGGGAGGCAGCAGUGGGGAAUUUUGGACAAUGGGCGCAAGCCUGAUCCAGCCAUGCCGCGUGCGGGAAGAAGGCCUGGUUGUAACGACUUUGUCGGGUAGAAGUACUGUCUGCGUAUACCGGACGGGACGUGACGGUACCGGAACGGAA
RNAcentral lists this ribosomal RNA (456 nucleotides) under uncultured bacterium. RNAcentral's name for it is "bacterial SSU rRNA". It matches the Rfam family "Bacterial small subunit ribosomal RNA", at positions 29 to 488 of the family's 1533-position model. The record is from RNAcentral.